AAGCCCAGCUUGCUGGGUGGAUCAGUGGCGAACGGGUGAGUAACACGUGAGCAACCUGCCCUCCACUUCGGGAUAAGCCUUGGAAACGAGGUCUAAUACCGAAUAUGAGCGCCUGCCGCAUGGUGGGUGUUGGAAAGUUUUUCGGUGGGGGAUGGGCUCGCGGCCUAUCAGCUUGUUGGUGGGGUGAUGGCCUACCAAGGCGUCGACGGGUAGCCGGCCUGAGAGGGCGACCGGCCACACUGGGACUGAGACACGGCCCAGACUCCUACGGGAGGCAGCAGUGGGGAAUAUUGCACAAUGGGCGAAAGCCUGAUGCAGCGACGCCGCGUGAGGGAUGACGGCCUUCGGGUUGUAAACCUCUUUCAGCAGGGAAGAAGGCCUUCGGGUGGACGGUACCUGCAGAAGAAGCGCCGGCUAACUACGUGCCAGCAGCCGCGGUAAUACGUAGGGCGCAAGCGUUGUCCGGAAUUAUUGGGCGUAAAGAGCUCGUAGGCGGUCUGUCGCGUCUGGUGUGAAAACCCGAGGCUCAACCUCGGGCUUGCAUCGGGUACGGGCAGACUAGAGUGCGGUAGGGGAGACUGGAAUUCCUGGUGUAGCGGUGGAAUGCGCAGAUAUCAGGAGGAACACCGAUGGCGAAGGCAGGUCUCUGGGCCGCAACUGACGCUGAGGAGCGAAAGCAUGGGGAGCGAACAGGAUUAGAUACCCUGGUAGUCCAUGCCGUAAACGUUGGGCACUAGGUGUGGGGCUCAUUCCACGAGUUCCGUGCCGCAGCUAACGCAUUA
Molecule: ribosomal RNA, 782 nt
Filed under: Isoptericola halotolerans
Lineage: Bacteria; Bacillati; Actinomycetota; Actinomycetes; Micrococcales; Promicromonosporaceae
Description: bacterial SSU rRNA
Rfam family: Bacterial small subunit ribosomal RNA
Source: RNAcentral